RNAcentral lists this ribosomal RNA (422 nucleotides) under uncultured archaeon. Its description in RNAcentral is "partial 16S ribosomal RNA". It matches the Rfam family "Archaeal small subunit ribosomal RNA", at positions 323 to 746 of the family's 1478-position model. The record is from RNAcentral.
CUACGGGGGGCACCAGGCGAGAAAACUUUGCAAUGUGCGAAAGCACGACAAGGUUAAUCCGGGUGGUUUGUGCUAAACGAACCUUUUGACAGUCCUAGAAACACUGUUGAAUAAGGGGUGGGCAAGUUCUGGUGUCAGCCGCCGCGGUAAAACCAGCACCUCAAGUGGUCAGGAUGAUUAUUGGGCCUAAAGCAUCCGUAGCCGGCUCUGUAAGUUUUCGGUUAAAUCUGUACGCUCAACGUACAGGCUGCCGGGAAUACUGCAGAGCUAGGGAGUGGGAGAGGUAGACGGUACUCGGUAGGAAGGGGUAAAAUCCUUUGAUCUAUUGAUGACCACCUGUGGCGAAGGCGGUCUACCAGAACACGUCCGACGGUGAGGGAUGAAAGCUGGGUGAGCAAACCGGAUUAGAUACCCCCGUAGUC